UUGACAGAAGAAAGAGAGCAC
RNAcentral lists this non-coding RNA (21 nucleotides) under Arabidopsis thaliana (thale cress). Lineage: Eukaryota; Viridiplantae; Streptophyta; Magnoliopsida; Brassicales; Brassicaceae. The record is from RNAcentral. RNAcentral also lists the same sequence under 3 other names.